UCCAGACAGAAGGAUCGGGGCAUAAUAAUAGGAUGAAUUCAGAGAGUAUGCAUGGUAGAGAUGCUGGUCCUCAUGGAGAUCUUGCAAAUUCCAUUCAGCAUAAAGAAGACAACUCAGCAGCACAUGGUUCCAGGAAUCAAAAUGAUGCUGGGGCUGCUCCAUUAAUUAUCAUCAGAAAAAGUUAAAGCCGCUGCUAAAGUUGGCCUUGCUGCUGCAGUAACAAAAGCAAAACUAUUUGCUGAUCAUGAAGAACGUGAAAUUCAGAGACUAUCUGCUAAUAUUAUAAACCAUCAGGUAUA
Molecule: long non-coding RNA, 299 nt
Organism: Ziziphus jujuba (common jujube)
Lineage: Eukaryota; Viridiplantae; Streptophyta; Magnoliopsida; Rosales; Rhamnaceae
Exons: 3
Source: RefSeq, a predicted model, not a curated record